AUGCGUUGUAAACUGCUUUUCCAGGGAGAGAAACUUGCGCACGUGUUGCGCAAUUGACGGUACCCUGGGAAUAAGCAUCGGCUAACUCCGUGCCAGCAGCCGCGGUAAUACGGAGGAUGCGAGCGUUAUCCGGAUUCAUUGGGUUUAAAGGGUGCGUAGGCGGACUAUUAAGUCAGUGGUGAAAUCCUGCAGCUUAACUGCAGAACUGCCAUUGAUACUGAUAGCCUUGAGUUUGGUUAAGGUAGGCGGAAUGUGUAAUGUAGCGGUGAAAUGCUUAGAUAUUACACAGAACACCAAUUGCGUAGGCAGCUUACUGAGCCGACACUGACGCUGAGGCACGAAAGCGUGGGGAUCGAACAGGAUUAGAUACCCUGGUAGUCCACGCCGUAAACGAUGAUUACUCGCUGUUGGCGAUACACUGUCAGCGGCUAAGCAAAAGCAAUAAGUAAUCCACCUGGGGAGUACGGCCGCAAGGUUGAAACUUAAAGGAAUUGACGGGGGCCCGCACAAGCGGAGGAACAUGUGGUUUAAUUCGAUGAUACGCGAGGAACCUUACCUGGGCUUAAAUGUAGAGUGCAUUUUCUAGAGAUAGGAAUUCCCUUCGGGGCUUUCUGCAAGGUGCUGCAUGGUUGUCGUCAGCUCGUGCCGUGAGGUGUCGGGUUAAGUCCCAUAACGAGCGCAACCCUUAUCGUUAGUUGCCAUCUGGUAAAGCAGGGGACUCUAGCGAAACUGCCACCGUAAGGUGGGAGGAAGGUGGGGAUGACGUCAAAUCAGCACGGCCCUUAUGUCCAGGGCUACACACGUGUUACAAUGGUCGGUACAGAGGGCAGCUACCUGGUGACAGGAUGCUAAUCUCGAAAACCGGUCUCAGUUCGGAUCGAAGUCUGCAACUCGACUUCGUGAAGCUGGAUUCGCUAGUAAUCGCGCAUCAGCCAUGGCGCGGUGAAUACGUUCCCGGGCCUUGUACACACCGCCCGU
RNAcentral lists this ribosomal RNA (978 nucleotides) under uncultured bacterium. Its description in RNAcentral is "bacterial SSU rRNA". It matches the Rfam family "Bacterial small subunit ribosomal RNA", at positions 418 to 1397 of the family's 1533-position model. The record is from RNAcentral.